Molecule: ribosomal RNA, 406 nt
Filed under: uncultured bacterium
Lineage: Bacteria
Description: bacterial SSU rRNA
Rfam family: Bacterial small subunit ribosomal RNA
Source: RNAcentral
AUAGCCUCGGGAAACUGGGAUUAAUGCCCCAUGACGUAUCUGGAUCGCAUGGUCCGGAUACCAAAGUGGUAGCGGUGUAAGAUGGACUCGCGUCUGAUUAGCUAGUUGGUGGGGUAAGGGCCUACCAAGGCGACGAUCAGUAGCCGGCCUGAGAGGGUGAACGGCCACACUGGAACUGAGACACGGUCCAGACUCCUACGGGAGGCAGCAGUGGGGAAUAUUGCACAAUGGGGGAAACCCUGAUGCAGCGACGCCGCGUGAGCGAAGAAGGUUUUCGGAUCGUAAAGCUCUGUCCUUGGAGAAGAUGAUGACGGUAUCCAAGGAGGAAGCCCCGGCUAACUACGUGCCAGCAGCCGCGGUAAUACGUAGGGGGCGAGCGUUGUCCGGAAUUACUGGGCGUAAAGGG